Molecule: ribosomal RNA, 261 nt
Filed under: uncultured Glomeromycotina
Lineage: Eukaryota; Fungi; Glomeromycota
Description: partial 18S ribosomal RNA
Rfam family: Eukaryotic small subunit ribosomal RNA
Source: RNAcentral
CCUUAAGCUCGUAGUUGAAUUUCGGGACCAUCAUGUCGGUCGUGCCUCGGUACGUACUGGUAUUGUUGGUUUCUCCCUUCUGACGAACCAUGAUGUCAUUUAUUUGGUGUUGUGGGGAAUCAGGACUGUUACUUUGAAAAAAUUAGAGUGUUUAAAGCAGGCUCACGCUUGAAUACAUUAGCAUGGAAUAAUGAAAUAGGACGUUUGAUUCUAUUUUGUUGGUUUCUAGGAUCGACGUAAUGAUUAAUAGGGAUAGUUGGG